RNAcentral lists this ribosomal RNA (253 nucleotides) under uncultured bacterium. RNAcentral describes it as "partial 16S ribosomal RNA". It matches the Rfam family "Bacterial small subunit ribosomal RNA", at positions 524 to 776 of the family's 1533-position model. The record is from RNAcentral.
UACGUAGGGGACUAGCGUUGUUCGGAAUUACUGGGCGUAAAGCGCACGUAGGCGGAUUUGUAAGUCAGGGGUGAAAUCCCGGGGCUCAACCUCGGAACUGCCUUUGAUACUGCAAAUCUCGAGUCCGGAAGAGGUGAGUGGAAUUCCUAGUGUAGAGGUGAAACUCGUAGAUAUUAGGAAGAACACCAGUGGCGAAGGCGGCUCACUGGUCCGGUACUGACGCUGAGGUGCGAAAGCGUGGGGAGCAAACAGG